Herpailurus yagouaroundi (jaguarundi) is the source of this 1819-nucleotide long non-coding RNA. RefSeq lists it as uncharacterized. The record is from RefSeq and is a predicted model, not a curated record. The transcript is spliced from 5 exons. NCBI's taxonomy places the organism in Eukaryota, Metazoa, Chordata, Mammalia, Carnivora, Felidae.
GGCUGCCCCCAAUGCAGGACUCGAACCCACGAACCAUGAGAUCAUGGCCUGAAGUGCGUCGCUUAACUGACUGAGCCACCUAGGCGUCCGAGAAAUCCUGUUGUUCUUCAGGAUCCAAGUAUCAUUUAAUUUUAUCUGAUUUCCAUGUUAUGUGUAGAUCACAAACUUUGCGAUAGGAUUUGGUCACCAUUUACCAACCUGCCUUGAUGUCACCUCUUCCACAGGCCAUCAACCGCCAUCAUUAAGAAUCCUACAAAAAGCAAAGUUAAAAACCAAGUCCCUGGCAAGAAAGUGAACACCUCCUCUUUCCCGAGACCCCCCCCACCUCUUCCCCUGUUCCCUAGCUGUGUCAGUACUAGUUUCAUGGGCAUGGAGGGCUUGCUACUUUCAUCCCCCACCAAGUCCCAAAAGGGAAAAGACCUACCACCUAGCAACCCCCUGCCCCUCAGCCCCAUCCCCCAUGUUGAUCCUGGUUACAGAAAGCCAAGGUAAGAAUUAUUGCGAUCCAGUAAGAGUUCUGAACCCCAGAAGGCCAUGGCCAGGGCACAGUCCAUGAAGAAUGCUUCGUCCUCCUGCUCGGUGCCCCCUUGGAACCCUGUUGGGCCCAGUACCUGGGAGUAGAGAAAGAAAUCAAUGAAAACCCAUCACCUUCAACCCAAUUGCCCCAGGAACAAGAGAAUCAAGGCUGACACAUAAGGUUGAGCAGGUUGUACGUAGCACAAAGAUGCCCCAUCUAAGCAGGCACCGUUAUCCUUAUGGACAUCAUGUAUAGGUCUUAUAUUUAUCACAGACAUUUAUUGUAAACAGGGCAAGCAGCCUCCCUGUCCCACAUUCCUGCUGUUACCACCUCACUCCCAGAGGUCAGCUGCAUACUCUCAGUCCAGGGAGAAUCAGAGGUCAGGGCUUUAUCCGGUAGCUGGUGCAGAUAAAUACAAUCAGACUUGAAGGGGCAGCGGCCAUUCCCCUGCAUGAAGAACCGACAUCGGAUCUGGCUAUGAGAGGACAGAAGGAGAGAAGACCAUUACUUCAAGCCCUGUUGCCCCAGGAACAAGGAGCACUGAAGGCUGACGCGUAAGGCUGGGUACUGUGUGCUAAGCACAUCACAUUUAUGAAUUCACUGCACCCUCACAAGACCUGAGACAGGUACUGUUAUCACUGAGGACACAGAGGUCCAGAGAGGUUAAGUGACUCAUCCGAGCCCACACAGCUACUAAGUGGCAGAGCCAGCAUUUGAGACUAGGUGGUUUGACUCCUCAGGCACCAUGAAAUUCUGCUUCUAGCACACAGACAACAACAGAGCUGGAAGGCCCCUGAUGACUCACAUGAUGGUGACGGGGACUUCCAGGAACUACCAUCAACCUCCUCCGCCUUGCCGGCCAACCCCACCAGGCCAGGCUCCAUACCCCAGCAGGCCCCCGGCCAGUCCCAACCCACAGCCACAGAGGGCAGAUGGAUGACAUUGGACGCAUGGAAAGAAGAAUGGACUUAUUCACAUCUAGCCACUUACCUGCCAUUACUGGUCUGCCUACACAGCAAGUGUAGGACCCAAAGCAAGCAGGAUUCAGAUUUCUACCCAGAGCUACAGCCUGCCCCAGCCCAGUGCUCUGUGGUGCCUUAUAAUCAUCCUCACUGCCUGGCUUGGAAAAAAUGAGAAGCUGCUACAGGAAGACUGAGGGCAAGUUCUUGUGGGCUGAGGGCUUUGAACACAUCCCUCAAAAUCUUGCCUGAAGGGCCAGCCUUGGAGAGGAAAGAUUCAGAAAUGACAAAAUGCAUUUGAUUUAGUGAUGUAACUUGUCUCUAAAAACAUCUUUUAAAAAUA